Molecule: long non-coding RNA, 2041 nt
Organism: Mustela lutreola (European mink)
Lineage: Eukaryota; Metazoa; Chordata; Mammalia; Carnivora; Mustelidae
Exons: 3
Source: RefSeq, a predicted model, not a curated record
UUGUCUUUCAGAUGCAACCCUUCAGCAUCUGGGGAUAUCAGCAGAGGGAUCCUUAAGCAAUUAUCUAUACACAAGACCAUCAGUCAGCAGGAGUGAUGGCUGGAGGACUUUCCUGGCACCUGGGCAAUUAACCCAGAAGCCAGAGGACAGAGAAGGCACCAGGCCCAUCACCUCUGGGUGGCACAGACCAGCCUCAGAUGCUGACACCAUGGUAUGCCUUGGGUGCCCUCUGCUGGCACAUCACCACACCUGACUUCAAGACUGGAUUUACUCCAUUGAGUCACCCUGUCUGUCACCUUUUCUCACACAGAGCUCCCUAAGACUUAGGGGCCACAGCUGAUGCUUCCACCAUCUUUAGCCAUCUUGCAACACUCAAAGAUGACAUCAACAGAGGAUGACUUCACAGACUCCAAACAGCUGGGUCUCCUAUGAUCCAAAGGUGGCCUGUAUAUUUUAUAUCCCCUUUCAAGUUUAUGGUUAGAAAAUGCUGGUGCCCAGGCCGCUCCACAAACAGAUUAGAACCCUGUGGGCGAAGCCUCUCCACCACUGUACUGAACAGUCCCCAAGGGAUUCUUAUGUUCAUCCCGAGCUGAGACCCACAGGGAGACAAGUCCAAGUUCUGAUACAGCAGACCUGGAGGGUUCCAAGGAUGAUCCUGAGUCACCAACCCAGAUCCACUACCGGACUAGAACUUGCAAUGAACUUUAGAGAAGGAAACAGAAAGUCCAGCUAGAAGAACCUUGAAGGGCAGAGAAAGGUCUUCCUCCCCAACACUCUCAAAACAUCCUGCCUGGCUGUACUUGCCCUCCUCGUGAUGAUGUGACAUGACACGAUGCCUAUGUGAGGAGAUGAAGUGAGGGGAAUGACACAGGCAUUGGGACACAUCAUCAGGCUUCUACUGCUCUUCUGAGUGUAAGGCAGGAGGGUCACCUGCCUCCCGACUGGGCUGACACUAUGGAAAGUGAAGCUGUGUAGGUAAGAAGGCAGUGGCGUAUCCCCAGAACCAAAUACGAACCAGCCUUUUAGAAAGGGAAUCAGAGAGCUCUCUACAUGUAUUGGCAAGGAAAAACUUGCAAGAUACAGUAAGGAAAAAUAGAUAAAUACAAAAGAGUGUGCUCGCUGUGCUGCUUUUAGUAUAAAGUAAGUUUAUCCAGACACAUACAUGUAUCUGGAAGAAAAGAUAAAAAAGUGUUUAACCACGAGACAUGGGCGGCUGGGGUCAGGGGCGAGAGGGAGAGCCCCUCCUCCCCUGCGCACCCAGCUUGGCACUGUCCGUUCAAACGCCUCUGAGCAGCCUGCACAAGGAAAUGGGGAAAACCCAAGCAAAUGCACAGUGACCUCAUCAAGUGUUCAGAAAUCUAGUUCCCCUGAUUUCCAACUCAACAACUGGACAUUUUCCCAAUCCGUAAGGAUACUUUUUUUUUUUAAGAUUUUUUCUUUAUUUAUCUGACAGAGAUCACAAGUAGGCAGAGAGGCAGGCAGAGAGAGAGGAGGAAGCAGGCUCCCUGCAGCGCAGAGAGCCCGAUGUGGGGCUCGAUCCCAGGACCCUGGGAUCAUGACCUGAGCCGAAGGCAGAGGCUUAACCCACUGAGCCACCCAGGUGCCCCCGUAAGAAUACAUUUUUAAAGCAUUUAUUCUUCAAAUGCGAAAAUGUUAGCUGACACUAAAAUUUAGUAAGGAUGAUACAUGCUCUGGUCUCUGCCUUUGUUCCCUGAAAGUACAUUUGUGAACACAGGGAGAAGCAUAAAAAUAAUACCCCGAUUCUGGACCCUCCCACAAUUAUUUGAUUUUCUAGAAGUACUUGAGACUAUUUGCCUGUCCUACUGCAAUAUUUUCAAAAAUAAUCCAUUCCAGGACAGAAAGGUUUCUAUACGCAUGUAUUGGUAACGGACUACAGGAUGGAUCUGACCCAUGCAAAUCCAACGGUCAAUACUGGUAAAAGCCUGUGCUUGGUAACUGGGUUGCCUGUGCACACAGAAGACCGGGGAGAGAAACCAGGGGCUACGUACGCUGUAACUGAGCGGCUCUCAGCUGCUUCUUC